This 113-nucleotide ribosomal RNA is filed under the name Panthera pardus (leopard). Lineage: Eukaryota; Metazoa; Chordata; Mammalia; Carnivora; Felidae. The record is from RNAcentral.
GACAUUUGGUAGAGACUGUUGAAGCCACCUGGUCCUAGCAGACCCCAGAGAUCGGCCACAUUCACUGAUGCUGGAACAAGGUCAUUAAGGGUGAAGCCUGGUGCCAGAUGUGU